This 1420-nucleotide ribosomal RNA is filed under the name uncultured bacterium. Its description in RNAcentral is "partial 16S ribosomal RNA". It matches the Rfam family "Bacterial small subunit ribosomal RNA". The record is from RNAcentral.
CAUGCAAGUCGAACGGCAGCACGGGAGCAAUCCUGGUGGCGAGUGGCGAACGGGUGAGUAAUAUAUCGGAACGUGCCCAGUCGUGGGGGAUAACGCAGCGAAAGCUGUGCUAAUACCGCAUACGAUCUCUGGAUGAAAGCGGGGGACCUUCGGGCCUCGCGCGAUUGGAGCGGCCGAUAUCAGAUUAGCUAGUUGGUGGGGUAAAAGCCCACCAAGGCGACGAUCUGUAGCUGGUCUGAGAGGACGACCAGCCACACUGGAACUGAGACACGGUCCAGACUCCUACGGGAGGCAGCAGUGGGGAAUUUUGGACAAUGGGCGCAAGCCUGAUCCAGCAAUGCCGCGUGCAGGAUGAAGGCCUUCGGGUUGUAAACUGCUUUUGUACGGAACGAAACGGUCUCUUCGAAUAAAGGGGGCUAAUGACGGUACCGUAAGAAUAAGCACCGGCUAACUUCGUGCCAGCAGCCGCGGUAAUACGAAGGGGGCUAGCGUUGUUCGGAAUUACUGGGCGUAAAGCGCACGUAGGCGGAUAUUUAAGUCAGGGGUGAAAUCCCAGAGCUCAACUCUGGAACUGCCUUUGAUACUGGGUAUCUUGAGUAUGGAAGAGGUAAGUGGAAUUGCGAGUGUAGAGGUGAAAUUCGUAGAUAUUCGCAGGAACACCAGUGGCGAAGGCGGCUUACUGGUCCAUUACUGACGCUGAGGUGCGAAAGCGUGGGGAGCAAACAGGAUUAGAUACCCUGGUAGUCCACGCCGUAAACGAUGAUAACUAGCUGUCGGGGUUCAUAGAACUUCGGUGGCGCAGCUAACGCAUUAAGUUAUCCGCCUGGGGAGUACGGCCGCAAGGUUAAAACUCAAAUGAAUUGACGGGGGCCUGCACAAGCGGUGGAGCAUGUGGUUUAAUUCGAAGCAACGCGCAGAACCUUACCAGCGUUUGACAUGCCUAGUAUAUUUUCCAGAGAUGGAUUAUUUCAGUUCGGCUGGCUAGUGCACAGGUGCUGCAUGGCUGUCGUCAGCUCGUGUCGUGAGAUGCUGGGUUAAGUCCCGCAACGAGCGCAACCCUCGUCUUUAGUUGCCAUCAUUUAGUUGGGCACUCUAAAGAAACCGCCGGUGAUAAGCCGGAGGAAGGUGGGGAUGACGUCAAGUCCUCAUGGCCCUUACGCGCUGGGCUACACACGUGCUACAAUGGCGGUGACAGUGGGCAGCAAUCCCGCAAGGGUGAGCUAAUCUCCAAAAGCCGUCUCAGUUCGGAUUGUUCUCUGCAACUCGAGAGCAUGAAGGCGGAAUCGCUAGUAAUCGCGGAUCAGCAUGCCGCGGUGAAUACGUUCCCAGGCCUUGUACACACCGCCCGUCACGCCAUGGGAGUUGGAUUCACCCGAAGGCGCUGCGCUAACCCGCAAGGGAGGCAGGCGACCACGUGUAG